GACGAACGCUGGCGGCGUGCUUAACACAUGCAAGUCGAACGGAAAGGCCCUGCUUUUGUGGGGUGCUCGAGUGGCGAACGGGUGAGUAACACGUGAGUAACCUGCCCUUGACUUUGGGAUAACUUCAGGAAACUGGGGCUAAUACCGGAUAGGAGCUCCUGCUGCAUGGUGGGGGUUGGAAAGUUUCGGCGGUUGGGGAUGGACUCGCGGCUUAUCAGCUUGUUGGUGGGGUAGUGGCUUACCAAGGCUUUGACGGGUAGCCGGCCUGAGAGGGUGACCGGCCACAUUGGGACUGAGAUACGGCGCAGACUCCUACGGGAGGCAGCAGUGGGGAAUAUUGCACAGUGGGCGGAAGCCUGAGGCAGCAACGCCGCGUGCGGGAUGACGGCCUUCGGGUUGUGAACCGCUUUCGACUGUGACGAAGCGUGAGUGACGGUAAUGGGUAAAGAAGCACCGGCUAACUACGUG
Molecule: ribosomal RNA, 468 nt
Filed under: uncultured bacterium
Lineage: Bacteria
Description: partial 16S ribosomal RNA
Rfam family: Bacterial small subunit ribosomal RNA
Source: RNAcentral